RNAcentral lists this ribosomal RNA (377 nucleotides) under uncultured bacterium. RNAcentral's name for it is "bacterial SSU rRNA". It matches the Rfam family "Bacterial small subunit ribosomal RNA", at positions 523 to 898 of the family's 1533-position model. The record is from RNAcentral.
AUACGUAGGGGGCGAGCGUUGUCCGGAAUUAUUGGGCGUAAAGCGCGCGCAGGCGGUCCUUUAAGUCUGAUGUGAAAGGCCACGGCUCAACCGUGGGAUGGCAUUGGAAACUGGGGGACUUGAGUGCAGGAGAGGGGAGCGGAAUUCCCGGUGUAGCGGUGAAAUGCGUAGAGAUCGGGAGGAACACCAGUGGCGAAGGCGGCUCUCUGGCCUGUAACUGACGCUGAGGCGCGAAAGCGUGGGGAGCGAACAGGAUUAGAUACCCUGGUAGUCCACGCCGUAAACGAUGAGUGCUAGGUGUUAGGGGUUUCAAUACCCUUAGUGCCGCAGUCAACACAUUAAGCACUCCGCCUGGGGAGUACGGCCGCAAGGCUGAA